Molecule: non-coding RNA, 30 nt
Filed under: Cricetulus griseus (Chinese hamster)
Lineage: Eukaryota; Metazoa; Chordata; Mammalia; Rodentia; Cricetidae
Source: RNAcentral
CCCCUAUACUGAUAGUACUACUCUGCUUUA